CGCUGAGGGGAUGUGACGUCAGUGAGGCGCGUCCCCGCUCCGCUCACAGCAGUCGUUGAAUGUAUCGAUGAGAAACGGAGAAAGUCAGCGAGCGUCACAUCAUCCACAGACACGCGAGCGUUGGAUCGGGACUGCCACACACACUCAGCAUGUCGGACUUCCACGACUCUCUGGUGGACGUCUCCAGCGACAGCUUCUGGGAGGUGGGGAACUACAAGCGCGUGGUGAAGCGCGUGGACGACGGGAACCGGCUGUGCAACGACCUGAUGAACUGCCUUCAUGAGCGAGCGCGCAUCGAGAAGAGCUACUCGCAGCAGCUGAGCGAGUGGGCCAAACGCUGGAGACAGCUGGUGGAG
Molecule: non-coding RNA, 356 nt
Organism: Pimephales promelas (fathead minnow)
Lineage: Eukaryota; Metazoa; Chordata; Actinopteri; Cypriniformes; Leuciscidae
Source: RefSeq, a predicted model, not a curated record